RNAcentral lists this ribosomal RNA (253 nucleotides) under uncultured bacterium. RNAcentral describes it as "partial 16S ribosomal RNA". It matches the Rfam family "Bacterial small subunit ribosomal RNA", at positions 524 to 776 of the family's 1533-position model. The record is from RNAcentral.
UACGUAGGGUGCAAGCGUUGUCCGGAAUCAUUGGGCGUAAAGCGCGCGUAGGUGGCUUCGUAAGUCCGUUGUGAAAGUCAAAGGCUCAACCUUUGAAUGCCGAUGGAUACUGCGAAGCUAGAGUACGGAAGAGGCGAGUGGAAUUCCUGGUGUAGCGGUGGAAUGCGCAGAUAUCAGGAGGAACACCAAUAGCGAAGGCAGCUCGCUGGGACGUUACUGACGCUGAGGAGCGAAAGCGUGGGGAGCGAACAGG